RNAcentral lists this ribosomal RNA (380 nucleotides) under Betta spilotogena. RNAcentral's name for it is "partial 12S ribosomal RNA". It matches the Rfam family "Bacterial small subunit ribosomal RNA", at positions 801 to 1384 of the family's 1533-position model. The record is from RNAcentral. Lineage: Eukaryota; Metazoa; Chordata; Actinopteri; Anabantiformes; Osphronemidae.
UAAACAUUGAUACAUUAUUACAUUUUCAAUCCGCCCGGGUAUUACAGGCACCAGCUUAAAACCCAAAGGACUUGGCGGUGCUUAAGAUCCCCCUAGAGGAGCUUGUUCUAGAACCGAUAAUCCACGUUUAACCUCACCCUCCCUUGUUUUUUCCGCCUAUAUACCGCCGUCGUCAGCUUACCCUGUGAAGGUCUAACAGCAAGCAAAAAUGGCACAGCCCAAAACGUCAGGUCGAGGUGUAGCUUAUGAGAGGGGAAGAAAUGGGCUACAUUCUCUAAAAAUAGAAGCACACGGACAAUAUAUUGAAACAUAUAUUUUAAGGAGGAUUUAGUAGUAAGUAGAAAUUAGAAUAUUCCACUGAAUUCGGCCCUAAAGCGCGC